Mangifera indica (mango) is the source of this 1007-nucleotide long non-coding RNA. RefSeq lists it as uncharacterized. The record is from RefSeq and is a predicted model, not a curated record. The transcript has 2 exons. NCBI's taxonomy places the organism in Eukaryota, Viridiplantae, Streptophyta, Magnoliopsida, Sapindales, Anacardiaceae.
CAAGGAUUUAAAAACCGGACCGGACCGGCCGGUCGGAUCGGUCGGACCGUGAACCGUGCACCAGACGCAAAGGGAUUUGCUGCAGCCGACGAAUUGCUCCGACGUCACAAGUUGAAACGGUCGUUGAUUCAUCAGUUGCCGACGACCGUUUAAGGACGCCUGCCGACGACGACAAAGCUGCCGAGGGGUGUUGGUUUGCAGGCUCACAAGACAGCAGUUUCACGGCUAUAUUGCAACAUUUGACGGCGACUUCUCAGACUCAGACGGCGGCCGACGACGACGAGGUUCCGUUGCUGUUGUGACCGGCGAAUUCUCAGGCAACGACGGGAAGCUGGUGUGUAUCCAGUGCUUUGAAACAGUAUUGAAACUAAACCUUGGUGGUGCUAAUCAUGGCUGAAUGGUGUAUUGGUUUGAGCUGCUGUGUUCUAUGUUUUGAUGCCACGUUAUCAGGGAAAUUGCUGUUGUGUUGGAGUAGGGGAGAAUAAAAGGCAUAUCUACUAAUUACUGUUUACUAUUAAGUUAACAUGAGAGGUGUGUAAUGGGGUUCAAUUGAUUCGAAGGAAGGCUGCCAUAUGAAAAACCUUGUAGGAAUGUAGUUAUUGAAAUGUGUUAAAUACUUUUCAUUUUCUUGGUCUACCUUCUUAAAAAAAUAAACUAAAAAAUUUCUUGUUUGGUUUCCGAGGUGGAAAUAACAUGCUAGUCCGGUACUUCAGAAUUCUGAUUUUUCUUUCAUGUUUUAAGACAAGUAAAUACUUGGGAGGUCCUUGCUGGUUUUCUUUGGUUUCACAUGGUGAACUGACCGAUCUGCAAUGUAGGAUGCUGGGAGAGGAUUCCAUCAAUGAUAGCUGGCUUUUCUUUUGUUUGGUAGUGUAAGCUCUUGUAUUCUUUUUUCAUUUGUCGAUUUUAUUGUAAUGUAUAUGGACAUCCAGCUUGUAUGGAUGUUCAUGAUGUCUUUAUUUGGAUAUUAGGGAACUGCUCUGAGGGAAUCUACUGUUUAUUUUUAUACA